GUGGGGAAUCUUGCGCAAUGGGCGAAAGCCUGACGCAGCCAUGCCGCGUGAAUGAUGAAGGUCUUAGGAUUGUAAAAUUCUUUCACCGGGGACGAUAAUGACGGUACCCGGAGAAGAAGCCCCGGCUAACUUCGUGCCAGCAGCCGCGGUAAUACGAAGGGGACUAGCGUUGCUCGGAAUUACUGGGCGUAAAGGGCGCGUAGGCGGACAGUUUAGUCAGAGGUGAAAGCCCAGGGCUCAACCUUGGAAUUGCCUUUGAUACUGGCUGUCUUGAGUACGGGAGAGGUGAGUGGAACUCCGAGUGUAGAGGUGAAAUUCGUAGAUAUUCGGAAGAACACCAGUGGCGAAGGCGACUCACUGGCCCGUUACUGACGCUGAGGCGCGAAAGCGUGGGGAGCAAACAGGAUUAGAUACCCGAGUAGUCC
Molecule: ribosomal RNA, 425 nt
Filed under: uncultured bacterium
Lineage: Bacteria
Description: partial 16S ribosomal RNA
Rfam family: Bacterial small subunit ribosomal RNA
Source: RNAcentral